This 2925-nucleotide ribosomal RNA is filed under the name Avibacterium paragallinarum. RNAcentral describes it as "23S ribosomal RNA". It matches the Rfam family "Bacterial large subunit ribosomal RNA". Lineage: Bacteria; Pseudomonadati; Pseudomonadota; Gammaproteobacteria; Pasteurellales; Pasteurellaceae. The record is from RNAcentral.
GUUGUAUAGUUAAGUGAGAAAGCGUACAGGGCGGAUGCCUUGGCAAUCAGAGGCGAAGAAGGACGUGCUAAUCUGCGAAAAGCGUGGGUGAGUUGAUAAGAAGCGUUUAACCCACGAUGUCCGAAUGGGGAAACCCGAUAGGCGAAGAGCCUAUCAUUGCGAGGUGAAUAAAAUAGCCUCGUAAGGCGAACCGGGAGAACUGAAACAUCUAAGUACCCCGAGGAAAAGAAAUCAACCGAGAUUCUGUGAGUAGCGGCGAGCGAAAGCGGAGGAGCCAGUAAGUAAUAGCAGCAGAGAUAGAGGAAUUGUCUGGGAAGGCAAGCGACACAGGGUGAUAGCCCCGUACUUAAAAUCCAGGCUGUGGUACUAAGCUUACGAGAAGUAGGGCGGGACACGAGGAAUCCUGUCUGAAGAUGGGGGACCAUCCUCCAAGGCUAAAUACUCCUGAUUGACCGAUAGUGAACCAGUACUGUGAAGGAAAGGCGAAAAGAACCCCGGUGAGGGGAGUGAAAUAGAACCUGAAACCCUGUACGUACAAGCAGUGGGAGCCCGCAAGGGUGACUGCGUACCUUUUGUAUAAUGGGUCAGCGACUUAUAUUUUGUAGCGAGGUUAACUGAAUAAGGGAGCCGAAGGGAAACCGAGUCUUAACUGGGCGGUGAGUUGCAAGGUAUAGACCCGAAACCCGGUGAUCUCAGCCAUGGGCAGGUUGAAGGUUGGGUAACACUAACUGGAGGACCGAACCGACUAAUGUUGAAAAAUUAGCGGAUGACCUGUGGCUGGGGGUGAAAGGCCAAUCAAACCGGGAGAUAGCUGGUUCUCCCCGAAAUCUAUUUAGGUAGAGCCUUGUGUGAAUACCUUUGGGGGUAGAGCACUGUUUCGGCUAGGGGCCCAUCCUGGGUUACCAAACCGAUGCAAACUCCGAAUACCAAAGAGUAAUGCACAGGAGACACACGGCGGGUGCUAACGUCCGUCGUGGAGAGGGAAACAACCCAGACCGCCAGCUAAGGUCCCAAAAUCUAUAUUAAGUGGGAAACGAAGUGGGAAGGCUUAGACAGCUAGGAUGUUGGCUUAGAAGCAGCCACCAUUUAAAGAAAGCGUAAUAGCUCACUAGUCGAGUCGGCCUGCGCGGAAGAUGUAACGGGGCUAAAAUAUAGUACCGAAGCUGCGGCAUCAAUCGAAGGAUUGUUGGGUAGGGGAGCGUUGUGUAAGCGGAAGAAGGUGGUUCGAGAGGAUUGCUGGACGUAUCACAAGUGCGAAUGCUGACAUAAGUAACGAUAAAACGGGUGAAAAACCCGUUCGCCGGAAGACCAAGGGUUCCUGUCCAACGUUAAUCGGGGCAGGGUGAGUCGGCCCCUAAGGCGAGGCUGAAAAGCGUAGUCGAUGGGAAACGGGUUAAUAUUCCCGUACUUGGUAAAGCUGCGAUGUGGGGACGGAGAAGGUUAGGUUAUCGACCUGUUGGAUAUGGUCGUUUAAGUUGGUAGGUGGGUGAGUUAGGUAAAUCCGGCUCACCGUUAACACUGAGAGAUGAUGACGAGGCACUAAGGUGCUGAAGUAACUGAUACCACACUUCCAGGAAAAGCCACUAAGCUUCAGGCUUUACUAAACCGUACUGAAAACCGACACAGGUGGUCAGGUAGAGAAUACUCAGGCGCUUGAGAGAACUCGGGUGAAGGAACUAGGCAAAAUAGCACCGUAACUUCGGGAGAAGGUGUGCCGGCGUAGAUUGUAGUGACUUGCUCACGAAGGUUGAACCGGUCGAAGAUACCAGCUGGCUGCAACUGUUUAUUAAAAACACAGCACUCUGCAAACACGAAAGUGGACGUAUAGGGUGUGAUGCCUGCCCGGUGCUGGAAGGUUAAUUGAUGGUGUAAUCGAAAGAGAAGCUCCUGAUCGAAGCCCCAGUAAACGGCGGCCGUAACUAUAACGGUCCUAAGGUAGCGAAAUUCCUUGUCGGGUAAGUUCCGACCUGCACGAAUGGCAUAAUGAUGGCCAGGCUGUCUCCACCCGAGACUCAGUGAAAUUGAAAUCGCCGUGAAGAUGCGGUGUACCCGCGGCUAGACGGAAAGACCCCGUGAACCUUUACUAUAGCUUGACACUGAACCUUGAAUUUUGAUGUGUAGGAUAGGUGGGAGACUAUGAAGCGGUAACGCCAGUUAUCGUGGAGUCGUUGUUGAAAUACCACCCUUUAACGUUUGAUGUUCUAACGAAGUGCCUGAAACGGGUACUCGGACAGUGUCUGGUGGGUAGUUUGACUGGGGCGGUCUCCUCCCAAAGUGUAACGGAGGAGCACGAAGGUUUGCUAAUGACGGUCGGACAUCGUCAGGUUAGUGCAAUGGUAUAAGCAAGCUUAACUGCGAGACAGACAAGUCGAGCAGGUGCGAAAGCAGGUCAUAGUGAUCCGGUGGUUCUGAAUGGAAGGGCCAUCGCUCAACGGAUAAAAGGUACUCCGGGGAUAACAGGCUGAUACCGCCCAAGAGUUCAUAUCGACGGCGGUGUUUGGCACCUCGAUGUCGGCUCAUCACAUCCUGGGGCUGAAGUAGGUCCCAAGGGUAUGGCUGUUCGCCAUUUAAAGUGGUACGCGAGCUGGGUUUAGAACGUCGUGAGACAGUUCGGUCCCUAUCUGCCGUGGGCGUUGGAGAAUUGAGAGGGGCUGCUCCUAGUACGAGAGGACCGGAGUGGACGCAUCACUGGUGUACCAGUUGUCUCGCCAGAGGCAUUGCUGGGUAGCUAAAUGCGGAAGAGAUAAGUGCUGAAAGCAUCUAAGCACGAAACUUGCCUUGAGAUGAGUUCUCCCAGUCUAUAAGACUGUAAGGGUUGUUGGAGACUACGACGUAGAUAGGCUGGGUGUGUAAGCGGUGUGAGCCGUUGAGCUAACCAGUACUAAUUGCCCGAGAGGCUUAACUAUACAACGCUCAAGGGUUUUG